AUCCUACGGGACGCAGCAGUAGGGAAUCUUCCACAAUGGACGAAAGUCUGAUGGAGCAACGCCGCGUGAGUGAAGAAGGGUUUCGGCUCGUAAAGCUCUGUUGGUAGUGGAGAAAGAUAGAGGUAGUAACUGGCCUUUAUUUUACGGUAAUUACUUAGAAAGUCACGGCUAACUACGUGCCAGCAGCCGCGGUAAUAAGUAGGUGGCAAGCGGUGUCCGGAGUUAUUUGGCGUAAAA
Molecule: ribosomal RNA, 237 nt
Filed under: uncultured bacterium
Lineage: Bacteria
Description: partial 16S ribosomal RNA
Rfam family: Bacterial small subunit ribosomal RNA
Source: RNAcentral